RNAcentral lists this unclassified non-coding RNA (348 nucleotides) under soil metagenome. RNAcentral describes it as "partial contains 5.8S ribosomal RNA, internal transcribed spacer 2, and large subunit ribosomal RNA". The stretch from base 1 to 120 matches the Rfam family "5.8S ribosomal RNA", at positions 35 to 154 of the family's 154-position model. The record is from RNAcentral.
GAUGAAGAACGCAGCGAAAUGCGAUAAGUAAUGUGAAUUGCAGAAUUCAGUGAAUCAUCGAGUCUUUGAACGCACAUUGCGCCCCCUGGUAUUCCGGGGGGCAUGCCUGUCCGAGCGUCAUUGCUGCCAUCAAGCACGGCUUGUGUGUUGGGCCCCGCCCCCCGGCUCCCGGGGGGCGGGCCCGAAAGGCAGCGGCGGCACCGCGUCCGGUCCUCGAGCGUAUGGGGCUUCGUCACCCGCUCCGUAGGCCCGGCCGGCGCCCGCCGGCGACCCCCCUCAAUCUUUUCAGGUUGACCUCGGAUCAGGUAGGGAUACCCGCUGAACUUAAGCAUAUCAAUAAGCGGAGGA